AUCACUUCUUGGCCUUUUGUCUAAGAUCACGUGUAUGAUCUGUUCUUAUCCGCUUAACAUCGGGGAAGAUGCCAACUCGGGCGCUGACUGCAUGUAACAACUUCU
Molecule: small nuclear RNA, 105 nt
Filed under: Xenopus laevis (African clawed frog)
Lineage: Eukaryota; Metazoa; Chordata; Amphibia; Anura; Pipidae
Description: U2 spliceosomal RNA
Rfam family: U2 spliceosomal RNA
About the family: U2 is a small nuclear RNA (snRNA) component of the spliceosome (involved in pre-mRNA splicing). Complementary binding between U2 snRNA (in an area lying towards the 5' end but 3' to hairpin I) and the branchpoint sequence (BPS) of the intron results the bulging out of an unpaired adenosine, on the BPS, which initiates a nucleophilic attack at the intronic 5' splice site, thus starting the first of two transesterification reactions that mediate splicing.
Source: Rfam by way of RNAcentral